GGAGCAGUGGCAGAGCGGCUUAAUGCGAUGGUCUUGAAAACCAUUGUACCGAAAGGUACCGGGGGUUCGAAUCCCUCCUGCUCCG
This 85-nucleotide transfer RNA is filed under the name Acidobacteriota bacterium. RNAcentral's name for it is "Acidobacteria bacterium tRNA-Ser". It matches the Rfam family "tRNA". From Rfam's summary of the family: Transfer RNA (tRNA) molecules are approximately 80 nucleotides in length. Their secondary structure includes four short double-helical elements and three loops (D, anti-codon, and T loops). Further hydrogen bonds mediate the characteristic L-shaped molecular structure. tRNAs have two regions of fundamental functional importance: the anti-codon, which is responsible for specific mRNA codon recognition, and the 3' end, to which the tRNAs corresponding amino acid is attached (by aminoacyl-tRNA synthetases). tRNAs cope with the degeneracy of the genetic code in two manners: having more than one tRNA (with a specific anti-codon) for a particular amino acid; and 'wobble' base-pairing, i.e. permitting non-standard base-pairing at the 3rd anti-codon position. The record is from RNAcentral. RNAcentral also lists the same sequence under 2 other names. Lineage: Bacteria; Pseudomonadati; Acidobacteriota.